Molecule: ribosomal RNA, 422 nt
Filed under: uncultured bacterium
Lineage: Bacteria
Description: bacterial SSU rRNA
Rfam family: Bacterial small subunit ribosomal RNA
Source: RNAcentral
UGAGGAAUAUUGGGCAAUGCCCGCAAGGGUGACCCAGCAACGCCGCGUGGAGGAUGAAUGUCGUAAGAUUGUAAACUCCUGUUAGAGGGGAAGAAUAGUACCGGUUGGACCGGUAUAUGACUGUACCCUCAGAGAAAGCCCCGGCUAACUACGUGCCAGCAGCCGCGGUAAUACGUAGGGGGCAAGCGUUGUCCGGAUUUACUGGGUGUAAAGGGCGCGCAGGCGGGAUAAAAAGUCAGUGGUGAAAUCCUACAGCUUAACUGUAGAACUGCCUCUGAUACUUUUAUUCUUGAGUUCGGGAGAGAGAGACGGAAUUCCAGGUGUAGUGGUGAAAUACGUAGAUAUCUGGAAGAACACCAGUUGCGAAGGCGGUCUCUUGGUCCGACACUGACGCUGAGGCGCGAAAGCGUGGGGAGCAAACA